Molecule: long non-coding RNA, 273 nt
Filed under: Phoenix dactylifera (date palm)
Lineage: Eukaryota; Viridiplantae; Streptophyta; Magnoliopsida; Arecales; Arecaceae
Description: long non-coding RNA (PDAC_LNC005836)
Source: RNAcentral
GAGCUUUGUUGGAAAAAAUCAUCUUGCUGAAUGUGCCAUAACAUGCUUCCAAAGAGAUAUUCAUGUCUUAUAAUGAAGCUAAGAUUUUUUUUUUUGUCCAAAUUUAACUUUUACUUUGGAACUCCAUAUUUAUGACCCGACUCGAACUUGACCCAAACCCGAUUCAAACUCGAUCUAGACUCAUUUUUUUUUUGAGUUUGAACUAAUUUAUACAUGGAUCUGACAUGACUUGAAUAACCCAUUGGAUCAAAAUUUUAGUCACAGACUCCACUC